CCUUUUUCGCGAUUCCUUAUUCUCCUUACGACACAGCAUCUUUUUCUUCCUCGCAUACCCGAACGCAUCAGAUUCAUCAUCUACCUUCAAUUUUUUAGGUAACAAUGGAGUCGUCGGAUCAAGAAAAUCCAAAAGGAUGUCUAGCAGCAGCGUCCACACCACUCUUGACUUCAGUCACCCUUUGUAUCUCCAUCCUUCUGAGACACAGGUGACUUCGCUUAUGAUUCAGCCUCUAAUCGGAGCUACAAAUUACGCAAUAUGGAGCCGUGCCAUCAAGAUGGCUCUUCGGGCAAGAAACAAGAUAGGUAUUGUUGAUGGGUCCUGCAGACGAGAAGCCCAAGAUCCGAGUCUUCAUGGACAAUGGGAUCGCUGCAACGCUGUAAUACUCUCAUGGCUGAUUAAUUCUGUCUCAAAGGAGAUUUUAGCCAGCAUCACCUUCUCAGAGAGCGCAAAUCUCGUACGGGAAGACCUUAAAGAAUGCUUUAGCAUCACCGAUGGAUCUAAAAUUUAUAGUCUACAUUGUCUAAUCAAUUCACUCACUCAGGAAUCAAUAACAGUGUCGAGCUAUUUUACACGAUUGAAGGAAUUAUGGGAGGAAUACUCUGCGGUUGUACCUUUGCCCAGCAGUAAGUGCGAUUCCUCUCUUGAAUAUGCAAGAACCGUAUAACAAUAGAGGUUGUUUCAAUUCCUUAUGGGACUUAAUUCAUCCUAUCAACAUGUUCGGAGUCAAAUCUUACUAAUGAGCCCUCUCCCAACAGUAAAUCAAGCUUACUUAUUGGUUUGUCAAGAAGAAAUGCAACGCAACUUGACUCAACCUCCUCACAACCUAAGCAAUGAAGGUUCUGCCAUGACUGCUAGAGGAUAUGGUAGAUACAGUAGAGGAUGAGGGUGAACAAACUCAUCUGAGGAAUGCACGUACUGUCAUCGUCGAGGCCACAAAAGGAACAAUUGCUACCAAUUAGUGGGAUUCCCAUUAAGUUUUGGCCGAGGAAGAGGCACCCAAGAUCGACAAAUCAACCACACAAAUGCCCCUAUUAAUCCAACUUCAAUUCAACCACAAGAAAGUCAGCUUCUUUCCCAACAAGACUAUGAUAGCAUUCUCAAGAUGUUACGCAAAGACAUUAAGCCUGCUCCUUCUGUUGGUGCUAUAACCACAAAUGACUCGAAAGACUCGUCAGGUGUUAAGUCAAUACAUGAGUAGUCCCAGAAAGUCGCAUAUGAAGGCAGCAAUAAAUGCAAUUAAAUACCUAAAGAAAGAUUCUGGUAGAGGCAUAUUCUUUCCUUCAAGUGGAGGGACGGUGCUUGAAGGAUAUUAAGAUUCUGAUUAGGGGGCUUGUGUAGACACUCGAAGAUCUGUUACAGGGUAUAUCAUUAAGAUGGGAGGAGCACCAGUUGUAUGGAAGUCAAAGAAACAAACAACAGUUUCACGUUCCUCAGCAGAAGCUGAAUAUAGGGCUUUAGGAAGUACUGUUUCAGAGAUUACAUGGCUAGUUGGUUUGCUGAAGGACCUAAAGGUUGAGAGUCCUUUCCUUGUUCUAGUGCAUUGUGAUAGCAAAGCAGCAAUUCAGAUUGCUUCGAAUCCAGUGUUUCAUGAACGGACGAAGCAUAUUGAAAUUGAUUGCCAUUUUGUUCGUGAAAAGCUUUAGGAAUGAGUGAUCAGUUUACGCCAUGUGCCUUCUUCAGAUCAACAGGCAGAUAUUUUUACUAAAGCUUUAAGUAAAUCGGGUCAUGAGAGAAUGUUAGACGAGUUAGGAACCAUAAAUAUUUUUAGUUCUAACUUGAGGGGGAGUGUAGAGAAAUAGAAAAAAAAAAUUGUUUUUCUAUUGAUAUUAGUUAUGUAUCAAUAAGCUGAUAUGGAUUAGUUAAUCUGGUAGUUAGUUAGUUUCAUUCUUGCAUUCUUGGCUAAUUAUCCUGAGCUAUAAAAGCUUCUGCCCCCUUUUGUAUCAGCGUGCAUUGAUGUAAAACCCAUUGGGUCAAGCAAAAGUGUAUUAUCCAAUAAAACAUUUUUUUCUUCAAA
Molecule: long non-coding RNA, 2017 nt
Organism: Prosopis cineraria
Lineage: Eukaryota; Viridiplantae; Streptophyta; Magnoliopsida; Fabales; Fabaceae
Exons: 2
Source: RefSeq, a predicted model, not a curated record